UACGUAGGGUGCGAGCGUUGUCCGGAAUUAUUGGGCGUAAAGAGCUUGUAGGCGGUCUGUCGCGUCUGCUGUGAAAAUCCGGGGCUCAACCCCGGACUUGCAGUGGGUACGGGCAGACUAGAGUGUGGUAGGGGAGACUGGAAUUCCUGGUGUAGCGGUGAAAUGCGCAGAUAUCGGGAGGAACACCAGUAGCGAAGGCGACACUCUGGGCCGGUACUGACGCUGAGGAGCGAAAGCGUGGGGAGCAAACAGG
RNAcentral lists this ribosomal RNA (253 nucleotides) under uncultured bacterium. RNAcentral describes it as "partial 16S ribosomal RNA". It matches the Rfam family "Bacterial small subunit ribosomal RNA", at positions 524 to 776 of the family's 1533-position model. The record is from RNAcentral.